UAAGAUCACCGAAGUCAAGCAACGUCACGCGUGGUCAGUAUUUAGAUGGGUGACCGCUUGGGAAUAUCAGGUGCUGAA
This is a non-coding RNA of Acanthosepion pharaonis, 78 nucleotides long. NCBI's taxonomy places the organism in Eukaryota, Metazoa, Mollusca, Cephalopoda, Sepiida, Sepiidae. The record is from the annotation of a GenBank genome assembly.